RNAcentral lists this transfer RNA (66 nucleotides) under Sinomiopteryx guangxiensis. RNAcentral describes it as "tRNA-Cys". The record is from RNAcentral. Lineage: Eukaryota; Metazoa; Arthropoda; Insecta; Mantodea; Thespidae.
GGUUUUAUAUUCAUGAAAAUGAUAUUGGAAUGCAAUUCCAGCAGAGUAUUAAAUAUACUAAGACUU